GAUGAACGCUGGCGGCGUGCCUAAUACAUGCAAGUCGAGCGAACAGACGAGGAGCUUGCUCCUCUGACGUUAGCGGCGGACGGGUGAGUAACACGUGGAUAACCUACCUAUAAGACUGGGAUAACUUCGGGAAACCGGAGCUAAUACCGGAUAAUAUAUUGAACCGCAUGGUUCAAUAGUGAAAGACGGUUUUGCUGUCACUUAUAGAUGGAUCCGCGCCGCAUUAGCUAGUUGGUAAGGUAACGGCUUACCAAGGCAACGAUGCGUAGCCGACCUGAGAGGGUGAUCGGACACACUGGAACUGAGACACGGUACAGACUCCUACGGGAGGCAGCAGUAGGGAAUCUUCCGCAAUGGGCGAAAGCCUGACGGAGCAACGCCGCGUGAGUGAUGAAGGUCUUCGGAUCGUAAAACUCUGUUAUUAGGGAAGAACAAAUGUGUAAGUAACUAUGCACGUCUUGACGGUACCUAAUCAGAAAGCCACGGCUAACUACGUG
RNAcentral lists this ribosomal RNA (497 nucleotides) under uncultured bacterium. Its description in RNAcentral is "partial 16S ribosomal RNA". It matches the Rfam family "Bacterial small subunit ribosomal RNA", at positions 28 to 507 of the family's 1533-position model. The record is from RNAcentral.